UGUGCGCUAGGACCGAUUGGUCUUCUGAGGAACUGGACUCUGGAGUCAGUCGUUCAAUAAUCCUUACUUUUUAUUUUUUUUGUUUAGGAUUCUUUCUGUUACUUUUAAAUGUGCUGCGCCAGUGAAAGAUUUGAUUAUUCUAAAAAUAGAGUCUAUCAUGAACAAAUUUGUCUUUUUUACAUUGUUCGAGUUCCACUUGCUGUUGUCAGAGUUUGUGUUCCAGUUUCUCAAAAAAUGUAUCUGCUGCUGUAUGGGGCAGAUGGCUCUUGAGUUCUAGUUUACUCUUGCAGAGUUCAGUGGUGACUUUAUAUUAUUUCUUCUCGUUCUGCUGGAGAAUGAGUUUAACAAUAUUCAUAGAAUGUUGCAAGUGCAGCUCAUCCCAGUUUUGUUUAAACUCUUCGUCCUUGGUGAAUUGUGAGAUUUCUUUAUAGAUGCGGAGUCGACGAGGGACUCUGUUGCUAACAUUGCGGGGCAUCACCCCCACACGCAUAUACAAAUGUAUUCCUCCCUCAGACGCAUCGCCGGGAUGACAUCGCUGUGUUAGCUUCUUGUUGCCUAGCAACCUCUCUGACGCGUCAGCCGACAAGCCAUGGCACCCGUGUCUAUUUAAACGGGACCGUGCGCAUCACUGGUGGGCGUGACCAAGCAGGAAGACCCCGCAAAACGGGACAGUCAACCACGAGUUCUGAUUUCUUCCUCCCCUCCCUGCAUUGUGCUUCCCUUAAUCCACAGGGAAUAAAAGUGCCUUCUUGCGUCUACUUCGGGGAUUCACAUGCUGAGCCUUCUGGAAAGGAGAAACAAAAUGUCCGCUCUGUGCAAUAUUAACCUCCAAGGCAAUCAACAGCCAUCACACCGGCAUGGAACAGCGCGACAUUCACAAGUCAAUAUGAAAAGAGAUCCAACACAUUUCUAAUGCACGCCUGGCUCUAAGAUGUGACACUCUGGUCACAGACACUUCUUAGAGAAGAAGGGACACGAUAGCUUUGUUUUCACACAUGUAUUUACUUACUCACUUUCUCUUAGGUUACUAAAUACGGUGGUUCUAUAUGUAAAAAAAAUUUUUUUUAUGAAUGUCCAAAUAUGUUCAAAGGGAAUUUGAGAGCUUAUAUCAUGCUCAGAGCUGCAGACAUGGGUAAAUUAUAAUAGUCUCUUAAAUUAUGGCUGUUUGUAAGAUUAUAAAAUUUUCCUUUCAAGCUUAAUUGAGCACUGUCAGAUACAAAAACUUUUGAUCUGUUGUAAAGCAUGCAAAACCAAUAGGUUUUGCAUUUGCUUUCGUUAGAAAAUUUUCAGUAUUUCAUACAGAAAAAGCCAGUCAAACAACUGCUUGGACACAUACUAGUCCUGCUGUGUCCAUGUGUCAUUACCUAUGUCAUGGACACACUUCCUUGAUUGACAGCUGUGAGCACAGGGCUCAGAGCUGGAGGAAAAAUCCUCCCACUGUCAUCUUGUGUCCCGCUACUGUCAGUGAGGACAAGCUGGGAGUUGUAGUUUUGCUAAUCCUAGGGGAGAUGUGAGCAGACAGCAUACUGAGGGAGGAGGCGGAGACCUGCACAGUGAGGCCACGCCCCCUCCUUUUGAGAGGAAUUCAGACUAGUGAGCUAACUUAAAAGUGUAAUAAAAAAAUAAAGGUGCUGGACACAUAAAAAUUAGAUGUACAUGGUCAGAAUUAGGUACUGAGUGAUAUAUUUAAAAAAAAAUUAAUUUUGUUGGAUCUGAUGGGUACGCUUUAAGUGCCAAGGAGGUUUUGCCAAGCUGCAGCAUGCAUGCCUUCCCUCUCCCUGCAUGGUUUCCGGCAUUGAGCCCUGUAAGUCAUUGUAGGAAGGGGGUGUAGAGACAUCUGUGCUGCAGCUCAAAAACAUUAUCAUGCCAGAGCUCUGAUAGAUUGUGGUGUUGAAUAUUAGGGUUUUAAUAUAAGGAUUUAAGUCCAAGGUUGGAGCCCUUUAAAAAAUUGUGUAAGCUUUAUUUUUUGUGAACAUUUAGUGUACGUUCACACUUACGGUAUAUGCUACAGAUUUAAUGCUGUGUAAAACAGUAUAAAUAACGGAACACGGUAUCUAAGGCCUGCUUACUAGUCAUUUUCUUCUAAGCUACCAAACCUCAUUCCUUUAACAGAUGUUAGGUCAUAAAAGGUGUAGUCAUACUAGCAAGGCCAUUGCCAUUAUUGACCAUAGGUGUGUCCAGGAUUUAAACUUCACCCCAUUUGAGAAAAAAAAAAAAAAAAAGGAAAAAAUCUGACCCUGUCAUGUAAUCUCAUAAAUUUUGUGCUAAACAAGCAAUAACGCAAAUAUGACAUAAAGAAAGGUUAACCUAACAAUAUUGUACUAUAUUUAUACUAUUAUCGAGACCACCAUUUCUGAGCCCUCAUGUCAUAUUCCAGCUUUUCCAGUGGUCUAUAACCAUUCUCUUUAACCUAAAAUAAUAUAUACAUGUACAAUGCUAGACAUAUAUUAUACAGCUUUAAGCUAGAAGGAACUUCACGGCUCUGGAAGAUUACAGAAAACAUACAUACCCAUAUAAUGGGCUGGUGAUAGGGAAAAUUACAAUAAGGGAAAAUUACAAUGGUAAUUGUUUUUCCAUCAUUUAAUAUAGAGAGACUAUUAGGUUUCUGGCGAAUAAGAAUACAAGUACUAGGACUCUAGAAGUAGGGGACAAUAUAACAAAACCCCUGAAAUAAAAAUAAAAAAAACCUCUAUAGGUUGGGGGCGGUUUUACAACUUGGCUCCAUUCACUUCAAUGGUACUGAGCUGCAGAACCACACCCAACCUGGAGACAGCCGGGGGUUUCUUUUAUUUUUAUUUUUUAAGAAAGUAGCUCUGUUUUUCUACUCCUGUCUAACCCCUUUAAGGCACACGCUUUGGUCCCAAAAAAUGUCUGGUUUGCAAACUGCAUAAUAGCCAUAAUAGAAUAGUCUAUGGCAAAAAAAAAAAAGUUGGAAAAACAUCUUUAGUUGCAGCCUAAAAACUGCAGAUUUUUAAGGCUUAAAAAAAAAAAGUUCCAUAAAACUGUUUGAACCCAACCUCGCUUAGCAGCAGAUAAAGACCUUACUAUAAGACUACGUUCACAUGGCUCCGCUUGGAAUUUCCGUUGCAGCAGAGUCCUUUUUUUUAAUAAUGAGAUUCUGCUACACCGUGCACACCCCGUAAUUUCCACGGUAAAAAUAUCUGCCUAGGAAAUCUCUAUUCCGCCUCUGCACAAAGAGCUGACAUGUCAUUUUUUUUCUGCAGAAUCUGCUUGGAAAUGCAUUGCAGAAUAUUGAGACGCCACAUUUCCGAGCUGUCCUAGCGCCAGCACCCGCUUUCUGCAGAAUGUCUGCUGGAAAUUUUGUGUAAAAAAAAAUGUGCUGGAAAAUUUGUGUAAAAAAAAAAUGUGUAAACAUAUCCUUAUUUACCAGGAUGACAAGAAACACAUGGUAAAAAUGCAGGAGCCUGCAAGCAUAGACACUCCCUAUGA
Long non-coding RNA from Hyla sarda, 3450 nucleotides. RefSeq lists it as uncharacterized. The record is from RefSeq and is a predicted model, not a curated record. The transcript is spliced from 3 exons. NCBI's taxonomy places the organism in Eukaryota, Metazoa, Chordata, Amphibia, Anura, Hylidae.